UGCAGUGAGGAGAAGGCAGCGUCAAAGCUGUUCCCCCUUGUCCUGUCACCAUCAGACCAUGGAAAGUCGGUCAGCACACGCACUAGAAACACCGGCUGUGCUGUUGACCCGCAGACCUUUACUAGACUCUCUGCUGCGACGCCCCAGCACGGGCGCCGUGCAAAAGGCCUGAUGGAGGCCAUGCUUGCUCCCUGCUGAUGCAAGCACCCUGCUGAUGCAAGCUCCCUGCUGAUGGCAGCACCGGGCCCCUCGCCGCCCUCCCGUGUGGGUGCCGCGCCCUCAGCCCCGUGAGGUGGUGUCCGUGAUGUCACAGUGGCGUCAAGGAGUGGCCAUUGUGACGCGCGGGGCCGGGAGCAGAGCAAAGGCUGCGGGGCUGGGGCCGUGCUCAGUGCGGCCUGGCGAGGCGUGGAGAGAGCAGCGACUCUCUUGUUUCUCGUCGUCGAUGCCAAUCAUGUCCAAAGGGACGGAGGAGGCCCCCAACUCUGGGGAGCCAGUGUGCAUGCUGUGCCGCCGGGCACAGGUCAACCCGGACAUCUGCGGGCAGACAUUUGCCAACGGUGGGCUCUGUGCCCACCAGUUCUGCUUGGUGAGUUCCCCCAAGGGCUAGGGCUCCUGCCAGGUGUGCUCCCUUCCUUCCUAUCCGGCCUCACGAGAUCCUGCCCUUUUCUCUCCUACAGUUCUUUGCCAAUGGCCUUUUGGAAUGGAGAAGCCCAAUGGGGGGUAUUUUUGGCUUCUCCAUUGAUGCCAUCCAGCGCACAAUCCAGCUGGCAGACCAGAAGCACUGCUUUGUCUGUGGCGGGAGGGGAGCUUCCAUCAGCUGCGCGGAGACCGGCUGUGAGCGCAGCUUCCACCUGCCCUGCGCCGAGGACGGGGAAUGCGUCACUCAAUACUUUGGGCAGCACAGGUAAGGGCGUUCAGCAGCAGCAGCCAAGCUGCCGUUCCUCCCUCUUCCUCCCGGGGAGGACUGCCCGCAGCGACACCUCCCAGCAUCCUGCCAGAGCCAGAG
This 1006-nucleotide long non-coding RNA is filed under the name Gallus gallus (chicken). RNAcentral describes it as "long non-coding RNA NONGGAT012034". The record is from RNAcentral. Lineage: Eukaryota; Metazoa; Chordata; Aves; Galliformes; Phasianidae.